This 253-nucleotide ribosomal RNA is filed under the name uncultured bacterium. Its description in RNAcentral is "partial 16S ribosomal RNA". It matches the Rfam family "Archaeal small subunit ribosomal RNA", at positions 474 to 727 of the family's 1478-position model. The record is from RNAcentral.
CACCAGCACCCCGAGUGGUCGGGACGUUUAUUGGGCCUAAAGCAUCCGUAGCCGGUUCUACGAGUCUUCCGUUAAAUCCAACUGCUUAACAGGUGGGCUGCGGAAGAUACUAUAGAGCUAGGAGGCGGGAGAGGCAAGCGGUACUCGAUGGGUAGGGGUAAAAUCCGUUGAUCCAUUGAAGACCACCAGUGGCGAAGGCGGCUUGCCAGAACGCGCUCGACGGUGAGGGAUGAAAGCUGGGGGAGCAAACCGG